UGAGGCAGUUGACCAAUGUUUAUCUGUAAUGUUCCAUUGGGAACAAGAAAAAGAGGCACAGACCCACAAAGAUUAACAUAGGGUAGAAUGUGGUACCUUUCCUGUAGAACCAUCUUCUACACUCAAGUAUCUUGCAGUCAUUGGAAACGCUUUACUGGAAAUUGGCCUAACCUUUUAUAUAAGAGAAAACUGCCAGCAAGUCUUGGCUAGAAGUAUGGACUGUCCUCGGUUGGAACCACUUAACCUGGCAGUCCUUUCCCUAAAUUGACUGUGUGGUUAUUAAACCAGCUUACACCAGAGCUGUUGAAACUCUCAUUGAUUCUUCAAAGAAAAGCAAAGAACUCUGGAAGACACGUUUUUACCUUAAGAUGAAGAGAACAUAGUAAGACCAUAUACUGACCUCAUCAUAGAAGUCUGGAUUCUGAGUAUGAUGAAGGAUUGUGGUGUAUGCUGCUGUUGUAAAC
Molecule: long non-coding RNA, 464 nt
Organism: Hyla sarda
Lineage: Eukaryota; Metazoa; Chordata; Amphibia; Anura; Hylidae
Exons: 3
Source: RefSeq, a predicted model, not a curated record